This 86-nucleotide ribosomal RNA is filed under the name Paenibacillus polymyxa. RNAcentral also lists the same sequence under 3 other names. The record is from RNAcentral. Lineage: Bacteria; Bacillati; Bacillota; Bacilli; Caryophanales; Paenibacillaceae.
UACCCAUCCCGAACACGACCGUUAAGCCCUCCAGCGCCGAUGGUACUUGGACCGCAGGGUCCUGGGAGAGUAGGACGUCGCCAAGC